This 846-nucleotide long non-coding RNA is filed under the name Pelobates cultripes (western spadefoot toad). The record is from RNAcentral. Lineage: Eukaryota; Metazoa; Chordata; Amphibia; Anura; Pelobatidae.
CAGAACAAAGCGGACUCCAUUUUGCUAUCUUCACGAUAACAAAAACACAUAAUUUCCUUGAUUUCUUCUUACUUCUGUAACUAGCCACUUGCUUGAGCUGAGGAAUGUAUUACAUAAACAAACCAAGAUAAGCAAUGAAACAAGGGGGAUGGAACGCACUGUCUAAAAUGUUAAUGGAAUAGAUGCAUUAUCUAAACACAGACACUAGUGACAGAGAAGAUUAAGUAAUUAAUUUUACUUUCUAAAUUUUACAAGGUUCCAUUGUAAAAUAAGAGGUGAAAUUGAGUUUAGAACUGUCAAUUUUACAAGUUAUGAUCAAAGUAGAUGCCAUAAAGACUGGCACAAACGCUUUGAACUGACAGCAAAUCUAAAUUAUGGUAGUCAUUUUAGAUAAGCCAAAUGACGUCAAAAUCGUCAUCAGGAAAAGUGAACUCUUUCCUGGAUAGGAAGGUUUCGUUAGACGAGACUGCCAUCUAUGGAUCAAAUACCUAAAUUGCGAUCCAUCGAUUGGACACACCUACGGCUGCCUAUUGGUUUAUCAACUAAUGACGUACAGAGAGUCUGGCCCUUUAAAAGUUAGGCCAAAGGGAAGACAGGGUGGUUGGAGUUGGAGACAGAGAGAGAUGAAUUGAAGUUUGGGGAAUCCAAGUCGGACAUGCAGAGAAAUCCAGGACAAUAUCUGGGACUAACACUCUACCCUUAAACUCUCUUGGACAUAAACUCUUAAACUCUUUAAUACUUUUUCUAUCACUCACGCACCUCCAUACAACCAAUCAAGUUUCUGGGACUACCUACUCAUCUGAUGAGAAUAUCUACAUAACUGGUAACUAUGCUGGUUUAUUUAAU